ACAAGCGGUGGAGCAUGUGGUUUAAUUCGACGCAACGCGAAGAACCUUACCAGGGCUUGACAUCCCUGACCGCGUAUGAAAGUACGUUUUACCUCGGGUGACAGGGAGACAGGUGGUGCAUGGUUGUCGUCAGCUCGUGUCGUGAGAUGUUGGGUUAAGUCCCGCAACGAGCGCAACCCUCGACCUUAGUUGCCAGCAUUCAGUUGGGCACUCUAAGGUGACUGCCGGCUAAAAGUCGGAGGAAGGUGGGGAUGACGUCAAAUCAUCAUGCCCCUUAUGACCUGGGCUACACACGUGCUACAAUGGGCGGUACAAAGGGUCGCGAACCCGCGAGGGGGAGCCAAUCCCAAAAAGCCGCUCUCAGUUCGGAUUGCAGGCUGCAACUCGCCUGCAUGAAGCCGGAAUCGCUAGUAAUCGCGGAUCAGCAUGCCGCGGUGAAUACGUUCCCGGGCCUU
This 455-nucleotide ribosomal RNA is filed under the name uncultured Anoxybacillus sp. Its description in RNAcentral is "bacterial SSU rRNA". It matches the Rfam family "Bacterial small subunit ribosomal RNA", at positions 925 to 1382 of the family's 1533-position model. The record is from RNAcentral. Lineage: Bacteria; Bacillati; Bacillota; Bacilli; Caryophanales; Anoxybacillaceae.